This 2201-nucleotide long non-coding RNA is filed under the name Numida meleagris (helmeted guineafowl). Its description in RNAcentral is "lncRNA (ENSNMEG00000012466.1)". The record is from RNAcentral. Lineage: Eukaryota; Metazoa; Chordata; Aves; Galliformes; Numididae.
GGAGCAUGCUACUAAUGCUUUUAGAAUGCAAGGUGAAACCUGGAAGGUUGUCUCUGCCAAUCUUCUUUAUAUAUCUUUGUAUGGCUAAAUUCCCUUUUCCUAACUGCCAUGAGAAUGAUUCGGUUCUACGCUGUUCCCUGGACUACUGUGACUGUGAUCUGCAAAAGAGCUAGAGAGUUUGCAGAUAAUUAAAGCCAGAAUUCUGCCUGGUUGGGUAACCAUGAGUUUUUGUGCUUGCACAGUCUUCGUUUUCAAAAGCAUUGUCUGUUUUGUGCUGACAGUGAAGCCAUCUCAGAAGGUGAACCUGGGAAAAUUCAGGUAUUCUCUGAUUCUCUGGAAGGAAAAGGGUAAUGGAAACUUGCAGAAGAACAGUAGAUCUAAUGAGAGGAAGAGUGAGGAAAUGAAGGAUCUGAUGAUUGCAAAGCAUCUUUAAAAGCCCAUUUGGGAACAUGACAAUUUAGAAAAUGGAAAAUGCAUUCCUUAGCUUCAUUUCACUUCAGUUACGGCUUUACAAUAUUACCCAUGAGAUAAUACUUCAGUGCUCCUGUUUUUUGUUUGCCACUCUCAGUCACCUCUAUAGAUAAGUCUAGGAGCUCAGGGUAUUUGUGCAUCAUCGUACUGUCUGCCUCACUCCUUCCCACUCCCAAAUUGGAUUAAGUCCAUCACAGCUAAAGGAAGGAAUGGAGCAUGAGUCAUCUACUGUACUAAAUUUGGCAGAGCACUAUUAAGUGCUAUAGGAUUUGUCCAGCAAAUGAUCUUCGGAUGCAGCCUGUUUUAAGGGCUUCCAUGUCAGUAAGUGUGCUAAUGAAACUGUAAGUAAUGAAUAACAAGAUCCUUUUAGAAUUUCCAGUAACAGAUAUUCCUUUGUUUAUUUUGUUUGGGGCUUGGGGAUGGAUCCUGGUGGCAUUAUUCAUAAUGCUUCUUUGAUUCAAAUGCGGCAAAGCACUAGGUGGGAUGCCAAUCCUUGAUGCCCUCCUUGGAAAUUUCUUUCUGUGCAGUAAUGUUAGCAUAUAAACUAGUGUCAUUUGGUUAUCAAAAGGGCUAUUUCCAAUUUCUUAUGAGAGACUAUGAGAGAAAAAAUAUUUUCUAUCUCAAGUCAUUAUCCCAAGACAUGGGCAGGAUUUCUCCAGUAGGAGGCAGCUAGUCUUUGACUUGAAAAUGAACAGAACUUCACUGGAGUGGAAAGGGACUGCAUAUUCAGAAACACAGAUUAUUACUUUAGAAAUACUGUAUGAGGCUGCUUUUCCCAUUAGCAGUCAAGGACUCAUUUCUCCUCCUGUGUUGAUAAGCAUCUGCUGAAGAGGUAGAGCAUCAGGGUAGCCUCUACCUUUUCGUUUGUUUUUGCAAUAAUGCAAAUUUCCAUCAUGUUGAAGACAAAUAGAAGGUCCUAACAUUCAUGCCCAAAUUUUCUUUUAGUCCUUUAGCUGUUUAUCCUUACCCUUGUUUCCCCUUGACCCCUUCGUUCAAGAUGUUAGCUCCCCUUGACACAAAGCCAAGUGUCUAUCUCAGCUUUUAAUAGUCUAGUUAUGUCUACUCUUAUACAGUGUACUGUAUGGGAGAGACAACUAGGGUAGCUUUACAUUAGCUCAUUUGGAUGUGUAGGGCAGAAUAAUAUAAUGCACUGCAUAGAGCACAGGACCCCACCCCUCUUUCUCAAAUCCUACUUGCUACAUUUUUUUCACCAGUUAAAUCUCCAUAUAGAAUAAUUAGGGAUGGAGCCAGUGUUGUCACCCUUCUCUAAGACAGAUUGUUGAUUGAGGUUAGGUACUUUCUCUUCUGAGGAGUGAGAUGUUCAAGAUUUUACCCUGGAAAAUUAAAAAAAGAAUACUGCCUUUUUUAAAAUCUUUUCAGUGACCAAAAUGAUGAUUAAUUAGCACAUAUAUAUGCUACCAGGAAUUAGGUUGGUAGCUGCUCCACUACGUCUUAUUUUAAGGUAACUGUUCAACUGUGUCUUAAUUUAAGUGUGAUAUAAUGUUAUACACACAAUGUCAGCAAGUAAAUAUUUAAGAAAUGUUGCUAUGAAUAAUUGUGGUGAAUACAUUAGGCUGUACUUAGGGUCUCCUGGAAGAAUUCCUGAAAACAUUGUUCCUUGAGACCAUGUCUUGCAAACCACGCAAGACACAGUCUUCUAUAAUAUAUCAAAAAGACAAAUGUGCUAAUAUCGGAGAAUAAAAUACAGUUCAGUGAGAUCUUAAUUUCCA